GAUGAAGAACGCAGCGAAAUGCGAUAAGUAGUGUGAAUUGCAGAAUUCAGUGAAUCAUCGAAUCUUUGAACGCACAUUGCGCCCCAUGGUAUUCCGUGGGGCAUGCCUGUUCGAGCGUCAUUUACCCCCUCAAGCUCCGCUUGGUGUUGGGCGUCUGUCCCGCUUCGCGCGCGGAUUCGCCCCAAAGGUAUUGGCAGCGGUCGUGCCAGCUUCUCGCGCAGCACAUUGCGCUUCUCGAGGCACCGGUGGGCCCGCGUCCAUCAAGCUCACCCCCCCAGUUUGACCUCGGAUCAGGUAGGGAUACCCGCUGAACUUAAGCAUAUCAAUAAGCGGAGGA
Molecule: unclassified non-coding RNA, 337 nt
Filed under: soil metagenome
Description: partial contains 5.8S ribosomal RNA, internal transcribed spacer 2, and large subunit ribosomal RNA
Rfam family: 5.8S ribosomal RNA (bases 1-120)
Source: RNAcentral